RNAcentral lists this ribosomal RNA (354 nucleotides) under uncultured Anoxybacillus sp. Its description in RNAcentral is "bacterial SSU rRNA". It matches the Rfam family "Bacterial small subunit ribosomal RNA", at positions 1026 to 1382 of the family's 1533-position model. The record is from RNAcentral. Lineage: Bacteria; Bacillati; Bacillota; Bacilli; Caryophanales; Anoxybacillaceae.
ACAGGGUGACAGGUGGUGCAUGGUUGUCGUCAGCUCGUGUCGUGAGAUGUUGGGUUAAGUCCCGCAACGAGCGCAACCCUCGACCUUAGUUGCCAGCAUUCAGUUGGGCACUCUAAGGUGACUGCCGGCUAAAAGUCGGAGGAAGUGGGGAUGACGUCAAAUCAUCAUGCCCCUUAUGACCUGGGCUACACACGUGCUACAAUGGGCGGUACAAAGGGCAGCAAAGGGGCAACCCGGAGCAAAUCCCAAAAAACAGGUCUCAGUUCGGAUUGCAGGCUGCAACUCGCCUGCAUGAAGUCGGAAUCGCUAGUAAUCGCAGGUCAGCAUACUGCGGUGAAUACGUUCCCGGGCCUU